Non-coding RNA from Triticum aestivum (bread wheat), 74 nucleotides. The record is from Rfam. NCBI's taxonomy places the organism in Eukaryota, Viridiplantae, Streptophyta, Magnoliopsida, Poales, Poaceae.
GGUUUCAUGGUGUAGUUGGUUAUCACGUCCUUCUAACAGACUGAAGUUCUCCGGUUCAAACCCGGGCGAAGCCA